Molecule: ribosomal RNA, 305 nt
Filed under: uncultured bacterium
Lineage: Bacteria
Description: bacterial SSU rRNA
Rfam family: Bacterial small subunit ribosomal RNA
Source: RNAcentral
UCACCCACGGGACGCAGCAGUGGGGAAUAUUGCACAAUGGGGGAAACCCUGAUGCAGCGACGCCGCGUGAGCGAUGAAGUAUUUUGGUAUGUAAAGCUCUAUCAGCAGGGAAGAAAAUGACGGUACCUGACUAAGAAGCCCCGGCUAACUACGUGCCAGCAGCCGCGGUAAUACGUAGGGGGCAAGCGUUAUCCGGAUUUACUGGGUGUAAAGGGAGCGUAGACGGCGAUGCAAGCCAGAUGUGAAAGCCCGGGGCUCAACCCCGGGACUGCAUUUGGAACUGUAUAGCUAGAGUGUCGGAGAGG